Molecule: unclassified non-coding RNA, 431 nt
Filed under: Prevotella intermedia
Lineage: Bacteria; Pseudomonadati; Bacteroidota; Bacteroidia; Bacteroidales; Prevotellaceae
Description: partial 16S-23S ribosomal RNA intergenic spacer
Rfam family: Bacterial small subunit ribosomal RNA (bases 1-64)
Source: RNAcentral
AAUGAUUGGGGUGAAGUCGUAACAAGGUAGCCGUAUCGGAAGGUGCGGCUGGAUCACCUCCUUUCUAAGGAUAUAUUCGGAACAUCUUCUUCGAAGAUGAAAAGGAAUAACGUGACAUAUUGUAUUCAGUUUUGAAUGUUUAUUAACAUUCAAAUUUGUACAUUGAAAACUAGAUAAGUAAGUAAAUAGAUUUUACCAAGCAAACCGAGUGAAUAGAGUUUUAAAUAAGCUUGAAUUCAUAAAUAAUCGCUAGUGUUCGAAAGACACUCACAAGAUUAAUACGCGUUUCCUGGUGGAACAUAGAUUAAGUUAUUAAGGGCGCACGUGGAUGCCUUGCAAUCACUAGUGAUUCGCGCCGCCUGCAGUCGACCAUAUAAAGAGCUCGGCACGCUUGGAGCAUAGAUAAGCGGGGUAGUUCACCUAUCGUCCUG